CCGGGACUGAAGGGAUUGUCUUAAGACCAAUGUGCUACAGUUCUAACAAUAGAAUCACCCCGGGACUGAAGGGAUUGUCUUAAGACCAAUGUGCUACAGUUCUAACAAUAGAAUCACCCCGGGACUGAAGGGAUUGUCUUAAGACCAAUGUGACUGUCUCAGAGUUAAGAUAAAAAUAACACAUAAAACAAGGCAUUCAAAAGGGCUAGCAGCAGCUGCCAUGGUUUAAUAGUUAAAAAGACCAAACCCUUGAGAAAGGCCCUGUGCAGUGGGUGAUAUAAAAAACAUUUCAUAAGAGGUUUAUAUUAUUGAAACCAAAACAGUAUACAAUGUAGUCUAUUCUCAUCCCUACCCUCAAUAACUCCCUAAUGGCCCAUGUGGCCCUGGUCAAACGUAGUGCAUUAUAUAGGGAAUAUGGUCCCAUUUGGGACUCAGCCCUUAUGAAUGGCUCAGUGUCGUGUAGAGCAGGUUGCCCAGGUCAGUAGCCUCCUGGGAGAAUGGUGAUUGAUUACAUGACUUUGUUCCACCUGGUAAAUCUCUUCAAUGGAUCCCUGCAUCCCAUCUCUGCAUCUAAUCAAUACAUUCAUACGUAUGACUCAGACUAAUGACAUUUAAUAGGGGCUGAGCUGGGGAUGGGACUAGGGCUGGGGAUGGGACUAGGUCUGAGCUGGGGAUGGGACUAGGGCUGGGGAUGGGACUAGGGCUGGGGAUGGGACUAGGUCUGAGCUGGGGAUGGGACUAGAGCUGGGGAUGGGACUAGGGCUGGGGGGAUGGGACUAG
This is a long non-coding RNA of Oncorhynchus tshawytscha (Chinook salmon), 780 nucleotides long. Lineage: Eukaryota; Metazoa; Chordata; Actinopteri; Salmoniformes; Salmonidae. The record is from Ensembl.